RNAcentral lists this ribosomal RNA (1175 nucleotides) under uncultured fungus. RNAcentral describes it as "eukaryotic LSU rRNA". The stretch from base 542 to 1175 matches the Rfam family "Eukaryotic large subunit ribosomal RNA", at positions 1 to 649 of the family's 3401-position model. The record is from RNAcentral. Lineage: Eukaryota; Fungi.
AAGUCGUAACAAGGUUUCCGUAGGUGAACCUGCGGAAGGAUCAUUACCAAACAUGUCGUUGUCCCGACACGACACUAAAACCCAUCCGUGUACCCUUCCUGUUGCUUCCGCGGUCGCGAUUCGCAUCCGUGGGAGGUCCCUGUAAAAACCAUUCUGCAUCUCCAUGCCCAGAGUCUGAACUUCAAUCUGUUUAAUUAAGAUUAAAAACUUUCAACAACGGAUCUCUUGGUUCUCGCAUCGAUGAAGAACGCAGCGAAAUGCGAUAAGUAGUGUGAAUUGCAGAAUUCAGUGAAUCAUCGAAUCUUUGAACGCACAUUGCGCCUCCUGGCAUUCCAGGGGGCAUGCCUGUUCGAGCGUCAUUUAGUAGCCAUCGAGCGAGUUCGCCUCGCUUGGGUCUGGGGGAUGGAUGCGCCUCGGUGCUCCCACCCCCGAAAUACAACGGCGGACAACCCCACCCUUGGAACUGCAGCGUAGUAAGUCAUUCUUUCGCGAGCGGCCAAGGAGGGACUAUCCAGCCCGUCAAACCCCCAAAUCCAACGGUUGACCUCGGAUCAGGUAGGGAUACCCGCUGAACUUAAGCAUAUCAAUAAGCGGAGGAAAAGAAACCAACAGGGAUUGCCUCAGUAACUGCGAGUGAAGCGGCAAGAGCUCAAAUUUGAAAUCUGGCGCCAUUGGCGUCCGAGUUGUAAGUUGGAGGGAUAACUUCGGGGCCGGCGCCAUCCUAAGUUCUUUGGAACAGGACAUCGCAGAGGGUGAGAAUCCCGUGUCUGGAUGGCUGCCCGGUUCCAUGUGAAGUGUCUCCGACGAGUCGAGUUGUUUGGGAAUGCAGCUCAAAAUGGGUGGUAAAUUUCAUCUAAAGCUAAAUAUUGGCGAGAGACCGAUAGCGAACAAGUAGAGUGAUCGAAAGAUGAAAAGCACUUUGAAAAGAGAGUUAAAAAGUACGUGAAAUUGUUGAAAGGGAAGCGCAUGCGACCAGACUCGAUCUUUGGUGAUCAUCCGGGGUUCUCCUCGGUGCACUUGCCAUUGGUCGGGCCAGCAUCGGUUCCGGCGGCGGGACAAAAGUGGAGGGAAUGUGGCUCCCUUCGGGGAGUGUUAUAGCCCUCCGCACAAUGCCGCCAGCCGGGACCGAGGACCGCGCUUCGGCUAGGAUGCUGGCUUAAUGGUCUUAUGCGACC